CAGUAGCCCGGUAAUACGUAGGUGGCAAGCGUUGUCCGGAAUUAUUGGGCGUAAAGGGCUCGCAGGCGGUUUCUUAAGUCUGAUGUGAAAGCCCCCGGCUCAACCGGGGAGGGUCAUUGGAAACUGGGAAACUUGAGUGCAGAAGAGGAGAGUGGAAUUCCACGUGUAGCGGUGAAAUGCGUAGAGAUGUGGAGGAACACCAGUGGCGAAGGCGACUCUCUGGUCUGUAACUGACGCUGAGGAGCGAAAGCGUGGGGAGCGAACAGGAUUAGAUACCCGCGUAGUCCCUGUCUCUUAUACC
Molecule: ribosomal RNA, 301 nt
Filed under: uncultured bacterium
Lineage: Bacteria
Description: partial 16S ribosomal RNA
Rfam family: Bacterial small subunit ribosomal RNA
Source: RNAcentral